RNAcentral lists this long non-coding RNA (374 nucleotides) under Elaeis guineensis (African oil palm). RNAcentral describes it as "long non-coding RNA (EGUI_LNC059876)". Lineage: Eukaryota; Viridiplantae; Streptophyta; Magnoliopsida; Arecales; Arecaceae. The record is from RNAcentral.
CCUUAAUUUAGAGAGAUUGUCCUUUGCAUCUAGCUACACAAACAUCAAAGCAUCUCAUUUUUUGUAAUCCAUCCACCUACAUACAUAUUAAAGCACACAACCUUAUCAUCUAUUCACCUACAUCGAUCUCAAAGUACUCCAUUCUGUUCGUUCACCAUCGGUACAGAUCUUAAAGUACUUAAUCCUCUGUCAUUCAUUUGCUAGCAUAAAUUUUAAAGUGCUUCGGCCUCAAUCCAUCCCUCCACAUGCAUAGAUCUAAAAGAGCUUCAUUCUUUAUCAUUUAUCUACCUGCAUAGAUCUUAAAGUAUUCCAUCUACAAUCUAUUUGCCCACACAUAUGUUAAAGCACUUCGUCUAUCAUCUAUUCGCCCACAU